Molecule: small RNA, 29 nt
Filed under: Bombyx mori (domestic silkworm)
Lineage: Eukaryota; Metazoa; Arthropoda; Insecta; Lepidoptera; Bombycidae
Description: ovarian small RNA-14432
Source: RNAcentral
CGGAAAGUGAUCGCUUCCAUAUGAAGACU